AGUCAAUGCUCGAAAGAGUGAACUAGCUAACUGAAAUCAAUUAUAAAAAUUGAUAACAUAAGGGAAAAUAAUGAUAUUACCUUAUUAUUAGUGUUGUCCAAAUCUGGUGCCAGAAGACUCGGUAAGGCCAGAAACACGAACGUUAAUCGUCUUAAUCAGGCGUAAAGGGUUUGUAGGCUGCUUUAAAUUUAUAUUUAAGUAAAGAAUAAAAGCUAGAAUCAAAUAGAGGAUAAAUUAAAUAAUGCUUAGAGUAGGUCUGAUAUCCUUAGAUACUAAGUAGAAUAUUAAAGGCGAAAGCUUUUUUCCAUUAAUGAUUGACGCUCAGAAACGAAGGUGAGGAUAGGAAAUAGGAUUAGAUACCCAAAAUACCCCUCUCUGUCAACGAUGAAUGGUAGUUAUUAGUAAUAAAUUAUUAAUGGCAAUGUUAACACGAUAACCAUUCCGCCUUGUGAGUACAACUGCAAAGUUGAAAACAAAAAAAUUAGUCGGUUUCGGAGCAAACGAAGUGAAGCAUGUUAUUUA
RNAcentral lists this ribosomal RNA (522 nucleotides) under Russula sp. RNAcentral describes it as "partial small subunit ribosomal RNA". It matches the Rfam family "Bacterial small subunit ribosomal RNA", at positions 366 to 948 of the family's 1533-position model. The record is from RNAcentral. Lineage: Eukaryota; Fungi; Basidiomycota; Agaricomycetes; Russulales; Russulaceae.